AGUGAACGCUGGCGGUAGGCCUAACACAUGCAGGUCGAACGGCAGCACAGUAAGAGCUUGCUCUUACGGGUGGCGAGUGGCGGACGGGUGAGGAAUACAUCGGAAUCUACUUUUUCGUGGGGGAUAACGUAGGGAAACUUACGCUAAUACCGCAUACGACCUACGGGUGAAAGCAGGGGAUCUUCGGACCUUGCGCGAUUGAAUGAGCCGAUGUCGGAUUAGCUAGUUGGCGGGGUAAAGGCCCACCAAGGCGACGAUCCGUAGCUGGUCUGAGAGGAUGAUCCGCCACAGUGGAACUGAGACCCGGUCCAGACCCCUAGGGGAGGCAGAAGGGGGGAAUUUUGGACAAUGGGCGCAAGCCUGAUCCAGCCAUACCGGGUGGGUGAAGAAGGCCUUCGGGUUGUAAAGCCCUUUUGUUGGGAAAAAAAAGAAGCAGGUUAAUACCCCGCUGUUCUGGCGGUACCCAAAGAAUAAGCACCGGCUAACUUCGU
RNAcentral lists this ribosomal RNA (491 nucleotides) under uncultured bacterium. RNAcentral describes it as "partial 16S ribosomal RNA". It matches the Rfam family "Bacterial small subunit ribosomal RNA", at positions 29 to 506 of the family's 1533-position model. The record is from RNAcentral.